ACAAAUCUAGCAAGGAGGGCUGACGCUCAGCGACUCGUAGCAACAAGGCUACUUGACGGUACACGACCGCUUGGUCAUUCAGUCGUCUGCAGAGGAUUCAUCCCGGCGAGGUGAAUUGCAAUUCGCAGCAGCUCCAGGGGCUUCUCCUAGGAGCGUGCCAGCUGCUGAGGUGCAUGGCCGGAGGCUAUUCGUAUCCAACUACGACGUGCGGGGCAACAUGGCGUUCCGGCAGGAUUCUGAUUAGAGGCGUUCAGCAUUAUCGGCAGAUGGUAGCGUCGCGGCACUGCUGGUCAGACAGCGCAAAAACAAUUAUUGAAUCAACGGUUCUCUCGUAUAAUUGAAUUACGUUGCGGCGACUUCAUCAGUAGGGUAAACUAACCUGUUCACGACGGUCUAACCAGCUCACGUUCCUAUUAGUGGGUGAACAUCAACGCUUACGAAUUCUGCUUCGGUAUGAUAGGAAGAGCGACAUCGAAGGAUAAAAGCAACGUCGCUAUGAAGCUUGGCUGCACAAGCAGUUAUCCUGUGGUAAUUUUCUGGCACUCUAGCUCAAUUUCGAGGGACUAAAGGAUCGAUAGGCCACUUUCAUGGUUUGUAUUCACAUGAAAUCAAAUCAAGGGGAUUUACCUUUUGUUCUACUGGAGAUUUCUGUUCUCCAUGAGUCCUUAGGACACUGGUUGUGGUUUAACAGAUGUGCGCCAGCAAACUCCCACUGACAAUGUUUCAACCGGAUGGCCGCGAAGGACUUAAGCAGAAGAUGGGCGGUGAGCCAGUUCGCUUCAUUGAAUAGUAAAAACGAUAAAGGUAGUGGUAUUUACUGGCGCGAAGCUCCACUAUUCUACACCCAUAUGUUUUUCACAUGUAACUAGAGUCAGCUCAACAGGGUCUUCUUUCCCGCUGAUUCUGCAAGCCGUUCCUUGGCUGUGGUUUCGCUAGAUAGUAGAUAGGGACAGUGGGAAUCUCGUUAAUCCAUUAUGCGCGUCACUAAUUAGAUGAGAGGCAUUUGGCUACUUAAGAGAGUCAUAGUUAUCCCGCGUUUACCGCGCUUGGUUGAAUUUUUCACUUUGACAUUCAGAGCAUGGGCAGAAUACAUUGCGUCAACACAUUUCUGGCAUCGCAAUGCUAUGUUUUAAUUAGACAGUCAGAUUCCCUUGUCGUACAGUUCUAAGUUGGUCGUUAGCGCCGCGGAGGCGAAGCUGCAAGGGCGUCCCACCGGUGCUGGGGGCGCGGCGGUUGCCGGCUAGUGCCCUGCUCGAGGGGUUUCCCAAGGCCAGCGAGCCGACCUUAGAGCCAUCCUUAUCCGAAGUUACGGAUCAUUUUGCGACUUCCUUAUCUACAUUGUUCUAUCAACUAGAGGCUGUUCACUUGGAGACUGCUGCGGUUAUGAGUAGACUGGCGUGAAACUAUUCCUUCCGGGAUUUUCAAGGAUGUCGGGGGCGCCGGACCUGCAAGGUGCAGGGUCUGCGGCGUGGAACCUAGUCGGACAACGAUUUCAGGGUGAUAGGCGUCAAGAAGAAAGAGAAUCUUCCAGGACCCGCGAUGUUCGGUUCAGUUACGUUGCCGUGGAGAAUCACAUCCAGGUGCGGAAUGUUAACGGCUUCCUUUCGGCACACGGCGCACGAGGGCGCUUUCAACGGAACUUCCUAUGCUUAGGAUCGACUAACCAUGUCAACUGCUGUUCAAUGGAACUUUCCCAUUCAGUCUCAAGUUUCAUUUGAGUAUUUGCUACUACCAAGAUUGCACUAGGGGCGUUGACCGGGAUCAUCCAGGCUUCGUCAGGACCCACGCUGCUAUCGUCGGGGCAUGUUCUACCGAGGCGAGGUAUGGGUAGCACGCUUGAGCGCAUCCAUUUUCAGGGCUAGUUAUUCGGCCGUGAGUUGUUAACACUCUUAGCGGAUUCCGAUUCCAUGGCACGUCGGGCUGUCUAGAUGAAUAACACUUUUGUGGUGUCUGAUGAGCGUGCAUUCGGACUUAACUCGCGUUCGGUUAUCCGAUCGCAGUUCUGCUUACAAAAUGGCCAUAGUAAGCUCAUUCUAAUGCCAGUUCAACUAAGCACAGGGUUCUUACAUAUUUAAAGUUUGAGAAUAGGUUAAGGUUGUUUCAACCCAAUGCUCUAAUAUUCGCUUUACUCAUAAACUGAUUUUGCGUUACUGCUAUCUGAGGGAAACUUCGGCAGGAACAGCUACUAGAUGGUUGAUUAGUCUUUCGCCCUAUACCAAUUUGACGAUCGAUUUGCACGUCAGAACGCUGCGAGCUCCACAGAGUUUCCUCUGGUUCGCCUAUUCAGGCAUAGUUACAUCUUUCGGGUCCCAGUAGCUCUUACUCAAUCCAUCCGAAGACAUCAGGAUCGGUCGAUGGUGCGCCCGCAAGGGGGUCCACUCGUUGCUUUCACUGCGCGCACGGGUUUGACACCGAACUCGCGUAGAUGUUAGACUCUUGGUCGUGUUUCAAGACGGGUCGUUUACGACAUUAUGCAGCGUCCGUGCGAGCGCGUUCUCGGUCAGGCUGGCGCAUUGCACCUGGCUAUAAGGUGCCCGGAGGGCAUACAUUCAGGGGCUUUGACGGCGCCAACGACGCUGGCCGCCACGGGGAAGUAACGGCAGAAUGCGGCUGAACCGCGGGCGAGUCUGGUCGCAAGCGCUUCCUUUCAACAUUUCAGUGCUGUUUACUCUCUUUCAAAGUGCUUUUCAUUUUCGAUCACUCUACUUGUGCGCUAUCGGUCUCCGGCAGUAUUUAGCUUUAGAUGAAUUUACACCAUUUAGAGCUGCAUUCCCAAAACUCGACUCGUCGAAGGAGCUUUACACGGGCACGGACACCGCCAAGACGGGAUUCUCACCUCUCUGACGGCCGUUCAGGGCAUUAGACGGGGGCGACCAAAGCAUCUCUGCAAUUACAUGCGGAUCGAAGGAGCAGCUUUCAAUUUGAGCUCUUGCGCUUCACUCGCCGUUACUGAGGCAAUCCGGUUGGUUUCUUUUCCUCCGCUUAUUGAUAUGCUUAAGUUCAGCGGGUAUCCUACUGAUCGAGGUCAACCUGGAAGAAUGGUUGGAAACGUCGGCAGGCGGGCAAUCCUACAGAGCAUGUGAAAGCCAUAGCUCGAGGAUGGACGCGGUGCGCGCUGCUUUCGGGCCGUCCCGAGAGGGGGACGGGACCAACACAAGCGGGCUUGAGGGCAGCAAUGAGCUCGGACAGGCAUGCCCCGGAAUACAGGGGCGCAAUGUGCGUUCAAAGACUCGAUGAUUCUGAAUUCUGCAAUUCACAUUAGUUAUCGAUUUCGCUGCGUUCUUCAUCGAUGCGGAACAGAGAUCAUUGUUGAAGUU
RNAcentral lists this ribosomal RNA (3317 nucleotides) under Aspergillus niger. Its description in RNAcentral is "28S ribosomal RNA". The record is from RNAcentral. Lineage: Eukaryota; Fungi; Ascomycota; Eurotiomycetes; Eurotiales; Aspergillaceae.